This 29-nucleotide non-coding RNA is filed under the name Homo sapiens (human). The record is from RNAcentral. Lineage: Eukaryota; Metazoa; Chordata; Mammalia; Primates; Hominidae.
UGGGAAGGCUGCUACUUUGGUUUUAGUAC